UUCGAUCGUGCCUGAAUGCUAAGAGCAGAGCACAGGCAUAAAACAUACAAGUAAAGGCAGUAACAAGUUGCAGAAGUAGUCGAAUGGUAGGCACCCUCUAAAAAGAGACACAAAGCUUUCAAAUCUAUUUCUAUGACAUGCACAGAGCGUGGAGUUUGUUCAUUUAUCAACUCCAGAAACGAUCAUUAAGACAAAUGGCCUGUCUAUAAAUACUUCCUUUGGCAUACUUUGAGCAUCAGUAAGAGCAAAUCGAACAUACCCUUUGGCUCUUCUUAUGUGUUUGUGUGUGUUUUGGGCCAAUUCUCGGUCACUUUGUUUUGAUUCCGAUUCCGAUUCCGAUUUCGAUUCUGCGGGGCUAUGUUUCUGUUCUGUUCUUGUAGGGUUUAGCUUUUAUUGAUUGUUUUUGUUGUUGCUGCUGCUGCUGCUGCUGCCUGCCUGCCGAUGGCUUAAUAACGUUAUUUUUCUCUGGUCAUUGUACUUUUAAUGGUCAGAAGCGGCACAGGCAGCAGCACAGGCAGCAAACAAAUCAAACACAGACGCCGUUUGCCUCUGGGGCGCUGUGCCUAUUGCCAACAUUCGCAUCGAUCAUGAUCAUCGUGCCCCGAGGUUGUUGCUGCUGCUGCUGCUGCUGAUGAUGAUGAUGAACGUGGUCAUGACAAAGGUUGUCCCUUUUUUAGUUGUUGCUGUUGUCGUGCUGGUUGCGUGGCAGCAACAACUUAUCGACGAAGUUUCCUGGGACUCUGAAUAAGGAUGAUGAUGAUGAUGAUGAUGAUGAGUUGGUGGUGCUGGCGCUGGCGCUGGCGGUGGCUCUUAUAAACUUGAGCUUCUGGGUGGCGACGCAUGACAGCUCGGACACACACAAACUCGACCAUCGAAAGCUCUUUCAUCGCAUGACAAGCGGCCGAAGCGUUUAACACAAAAACAAAAAACAGCCAACAAGUUGAACAAAAUCACGAGAC
RNAcentral lists this long non-coding RNA (959 nucleotides) under Drosophila guanche. Lineage: Eukaryota; Metazoa; Arthropoda; Insecta; Diptera; Drosophilidae. The record is from RNAcentral.